Molecule: ribosomal RNA, 442 nt
Filed under: uncultured bacterium
Lineage: Bacteria
Description: partial 16S ribosomal RNA
Rfam family: Bacterial small subunit ribosomal RNA
Source: RNAcentral
CCUACGGGUGGCUGCAGUGGGGAAUAUUGGGCAAUGGGCGCAAGCCUGACCCAGCAACGCCGCGUGAAGGAAGAAGGCUUUCGGGUUGUAAACUUCUUUUGACAGGGAAGAGGAGAAGACGGUACAUGUCGAAUAAGCCACGGCUAACUACGUGCCAGCAGCAGCGGUAAUAAGGAGGUGGCAAGCGUUGUCCGGAUUUACUGGGUGGAAAGGGCGGGUAGGCGGGUGGAAAAGUCAGAUGUGAAAUCCUGCGGCUUAACCGCAGAACUGCAUUUGAAACUGUUGAUCUUGAGUACUGGAGAGUCAGGCGGAAUUCCUCGUGUAGCGGUGAAAUGCGUAGAUAUUAGGAGGAACACCAGUGGCGAAGGCGGUCUGCUGGACCGCAACUGACGGUGAGGCGCGAAAGCGUGGGGAGCAAACAGGAUUAGAUACCCCGGUAGUC